Molecule: ribosomal RNA, 492 nt
Filed under: uncultured bacterium
Lineage: Bacteria
Description: partial 16S ribosomal RNA
Rfam family: Bacterial small subunit ribosomal RNA
Source: RNAcentral
AGUGAACGCUGGCGGUAGGCCUAACACAUGCAAGUCGAACGGCAGCACAGUAAGAGCUUGCUCUUACGGGUGGCGAGUGGCGGACGGGUGAGGAAUACAUCGGAAUCUACUUUUUCGUGGGGGAUAACGUAGGGAAACUUACGCUAAUACCGCAUACGACCUACGGGUGAAAGCAGGGGAUCUUCGGACCUUGCGCGAUUGAAUGAGCCGAUGUCGGAUUAGCUAGUCGGCGGGGUAAAGGCCCACCAAGGCGACGAUCCGUAGCUGGUCGGAGAGGAUGAGCAGCCACACUGGAACUGAGACACGAUCCAGACUCCUACGGAAGGCAGCAGUGGGGAAUAUUGGACAAUGGGCGCAAGCCUGAUCCAGCCAUACCGCGUGGAUGAAGAAGGCCUUCGGGUUGUAAAGCCCUUUUGUUGGGAAAGAAAAGCAGCAGGUUAAUACCCCGCUGUUCUGACGGUACCCAAAGAAUAAGCACCGGCUAACUUCGUG